RNAcentral lists this long non-coding RNA (244 nucleotides) under Phoenix dactylifera (date palm). RNAcentral's name for it is "long non-coding RNA (PDAC_LNC023077)". Lineage: Eukaryota; Viridiplantae; Streptophyta; Magnoliopsida; Arecales; Arecaceae. The record is from RNAcentral.
UUCUUAGAGGAGAUACUCUCACAUUACACAUCAUUAGGGAUAACCUGCUUGGCCUCCUAGAGCCUUGGAUCUGGAUGUGGGCUCUACUCGUAACAGCAGGGAAAGUAGCCGACUUUACUAGAGUUCCAGCCAUGACUCCCAGCAAAGAGAAAUAAGUUUAGAUGUAUAUAGGUCACACCCUACAAACCAUGCAGGAACACAGUCAACAUGAUGGGUUGUGCAGUUGAUUUAUACAUGAUUGUAU